UACGUAGGGGGCAAGCGUUGUCCGGAAUCAUUGGGCGUAAAGCGCGUGUAGGCGGUUCGGUAAGUCUGCUGUGAAAGUCCAGGGCUCAACCCUGGGAUGCCGGUGGAUACUGUCGGACUAGAGUACGGAAGAGGCGAGUGGAAUUCCCGGUGUAGCGGUGAAAUGCGCAGAUAUCGGGAGGAACAUCAGUGGCGAAAGCGGCGCGCUGGACCACUACUGACGCUGAGGAACGAAAGCUAGGGGAGCAAACAGG
This 253-nucleotide ribosomal RNA is filed under the name uncultured bacterium. RNAcentral's name for it is "partial 16S ribosomal RNA". It matches the Rfam family "Bacterial small subunit ribosomal RNA", at positions 524 to 776 of the family's 1533-position model. The record is from RNAcentral.